CUACGGGACGCUCCAGUAGGGAAUCUUAGACAAUGGGGGAAACCCUGAUCUAGCCAUGCCGCGUGAGUGAUGAAGGCCUUAGGGUUGUAAAGCUCUUUCGCUGGGGAAGAUAAUGACGGUACCCAGUAAAGAAACCCCGGCUAACUCCGUGCCAGCAGCCGCGGUAAUACGGAGGGGGUCAGCGUUGUUCGGAAUUACUGGGCGUAAAGCGCGCGUAGGCGGGCUAUUAAGUCAGGGGUGAAAUCCCGGGGCUCAACCCCGGAACUGCCUUUGAUACUGGUAGUCUUGAGUUCGAGAGAGGUGAGUGGAAUUCCGAGUGUAGAGGUGAAAUUCGUAGAUAUUCGGAGGAACAUCAGUGGCGAAGGCGACUCACUGGCUCGAUACUGACGCUGAGGUGCGAAAGUGUGGGGAGCAAACAGGAUUAGAUACCCGCGUAGUC
RNAcentral lists this ribosomal RNA (439 nucleotides) under uncultured bacterium. RNAcentral describes it as "partial 16S ribosomal RNA". It matches the Rfam family "Bacterial small subunit ribosomal RNA", at positions 339 to 795 of the family's 1533-position model. The record is from RNAcentral.